GCCCUACUGGUACAGUUCAGCUGGUAGAGCAUGAGACUCAUAAACCCAGGGUCGUGGGUUCAAGACCCACGCUGGGCA
Molecule: non-coding RNA, 78 nt
Organism: Podarcis lilfordi (Lilford's wall lizard)
Lineage: Eukaryota; Metazoa; Chordata; Lepidosauria; Squamata; Lacertidae
Source: the annotation of a GenBank genome assembly